GUUAAAGUUGGGAGAAAGUUUCAAAAGAUUAACAAUUUGAGAAGGUUUGUGUGAAAGUGGAGAGGAACAGACUUCUUCAUGAGGAGUCAAGGUCUUGACACCAGUCCCAGUGAGUCUGUGGUGGCUCUCUUCCAUUUCAGCAAUUUGUCCUAUGAUAUGGAAGGCCUUUGAUUAUGGAGUCACACUAAUCCUUGAGGAAAGAGGAAUGAGCCAUAUGUGCUGUAAAAGAGAUAAAGUUGGUCUUUUGACUCUGGACUUGAGGACACCUAGUGACAUCCCAUGCAUUGCCCUUUGGAAAAUACUGCUUUAGCAAGAAGAACCAGGAAGCGCAUAUUCAAAUGUAAAGAGA
Molecule: long non-coding RNA, 349 nt
Organism: Cynocephalus volans (Philippine flying lemur)
Lineage: Eukaryota; Metazoa; Chordata; Mammalia; Dermoptera; Cynocephalidae
Exons: 3
Source: RefSeq, a predicted model, not a curated record